RNAcentral lists this long non-coding RNA (2943 nucleotides) under Marmota monax (woodchuck). The record is from RNAcentral. Lineage: Eukaryota; Metazoa; Chordata; Mammalia; Rodentia; Sciuridae.
UUUUGUUUCAAUUUCAGCUCUGAUUUAAUUAUUUUCUGUCUUCUACUGCUUUUGGUGUUGAUUUGUUCUUCUUUUUCUAGGGCUUUUUUUCUUUUAAGGAAUGAACUUCAUGCAAUGAACUUUCCUCUUAGUGUCCCAGAGAUUUUGAUAUGCUGUAUCAGUGUUCUCUUUUACCUGUGAGAAUGUUUUUAUUUCAUCCUUGAUUUCUUCUACUAUCCAUUUAUCACUCAAUAGUGCAUUAUUUAAUCUCAACUUGAUACAGUAGCUUGUAUUUUUUAUUUUAUCAUUUAUUUCUAAUUUCAUUCCAUUGUGGUCUGAUAGAAUGCAAGGUAUUAUCUCUGCUUUUUUGUACUUACCAAGAGUUAUUUUGUAUAUAUGGCCUAUUUUAGAAAAGGAGCCAUUUGCUGCUGAAAAGAAAGUAUAUUUGCUGGUUGAUGGAUAAAAUAUUGUGUAUAUGUCUGUUAAGUCUAAAUUAUUGAUUGUAUUAUUUAGUUCUAUAGUUUCCUUAUUUAGUUUUUGUUUGGGAGAUCUGUCCAAUAGUGAGAGAACUGAAUAAAAGUCACCAAGUAUUAUUGCAUUGCAGUUUAUUUGGCUCUUGAAAUUGAGAAGGGUUUGUUUGAUGUAUAAAGAUGUUCCAUUGUUUGGGGCAUAAAUAUUUAUAACUUUUAUGUUCUGCUUAUAUACUUCCCUUAAGAAGUAUGAAAUGUCCUCCUUUGUCUCUUCUGAUUAACCUUGGUUUGAAGUCUGCUUUAUCUGAUAUGAAGAUGGAAACCUCUGCUUGUUGACACAAUCUAUAUGAGUGAUAAGUUUUCAACAUCCUUUCACCUUCAGCCUGUGGAUGUGUUUGCCAUGAGGUGAGUCUCUUGAAGACAAGAUAUUGCUUGGUCUUGCUGUUUAAUCCAAUCUACUAGUCUAUGUAUUUUGAUUGAUGAGUUUAGGCUGUUAACAUUCAAGGUUAUUACUGAGAUAUGGUAUGUAUGCUUUGUCAUGUUGAUUUAUUUCUGGUUUUUGAUUUGUCUUAGUUUCUCAUUUCUUUGGAUGUCCCUUUAGUGUAGAUCAUCCCUUUGUUGGUAAUCACUUUUUUUCUUCACUUUAUCCUCAUGGAAUAUUUUGUUGAGAAUGCUCUGUAGUGUAGGAUUUCUUCUUGUGAAUUGUUUUAAUAUAUAUAUUUUUUAUCAUGGAAGGUUUUCAUUUCAUCUUCAAAUCUGAAACUUAAUUUUGCUGGCCACAGAUGCCGCUGCCAUGCCCCGAGAUCUCUUCUCUGGGCAUGGUCUAUGCUACCUCAGAUGCUACUUCCACGCUACCUCUGUAAUCACUGCCGCUGAAUCUAAGGUAUCCUGUCAAUAAACUCCACCUGCACUGCUAUGCCAUUCCUGUUACCUUUGAUUCUACUGCUGCCAGGCUGAGGUUGCCUGAAUAUCUUCUUUCUGGGUGAUGCUGCCCUUACAGCUGCAACCCCCUGUUGCUGCCCCAGAUUCACCUGAAGCUGACACUGCUUCUGUCCCCAGAGAUUGCCAGGUGAUGCUGCCCCCACAGCUCCAGUUGCAGCUGCCACUGAUGCUGACAACAACCACCGCCCUACUGCUGCUAUGAUGGCCUAGAGGACUGCUAUAGGGAGACUCCAGGUUUGGUUGCACAUGGCUACACUGAUUUUGGGACACCAGCCAGGGCCUGGGGUCUGGGUGUUACCACCACAAGAGCCUCUGUCUGGGGAUUCCAGUUGGGACCUGCAGGUUCAAUGUGGGGGUGCCUGUGGGUUUGGAGGAGCCUGGGGUCUUCCUGCUAAGAGUGCUGGUGGCCCUUACUUGCUGCUGCAUCUCGGGGUUGCUCCUUUUCAUGAGUGUAUCCCUGGUGGCCUCUCUGCAAGUAGGAGCAGCACUGAGAUCUUGGGCAAGCAGGUGACUGAGCCUGAGGUAUCUGAAGCCCAGAUUGGUGGAAUAGUGACUGGGUUUCCAAUGGCUGAUGUGGGUUUGAUGAUUUUGAGAGAUGUCAGAGACAGGGAUAAGACACUGUUGAACACUGACAGAAACAGGUCAACUUUCCAGCAAGAUUCAUUUUAUUUUAUUUCUUGAUUCAUUAACAUCUCUACUAUAUUUGUUAUAGAAUUUUUUUAUGCACCAGUGUGUGGAGGACAAUGAUAUAUGAAUGGUGUUUUGUAUUUUCAUUGUAUUCUUAUGUCUUUAAUUUUUUCUCUUUGUUCCUAUUCUUCUACUUUCUUGUCUAUUUUCUUUCUAACUUUUCUCCAACCAACAGCCAAUCUCUAUCAAUUCCUAUUCCUUUCUUCCUGUGAAUUUUUACUUCUAGCUUCUCUCUUGCUUUCUUGCAAAUAUUGUGUACUACACUACCUCUGUACUCUCAUUCACCAUUUAAAAUUAUAAAACAUUUUAACAAAUUUUCUAUUUAUACUAUAGAUAGUUAUUGAACUCAUCAUUUUGGUUUAAUGCUAGAAAGCAGUAGACACCUUAGUGGGAGUUAUUAGGUUUAAGGACAUAUAUUGUCUACACUGGGUGCUGUUGAUAUUGGUCUCAUCAUUAAAAGUGAGGCACUGGAAACCUUCAGGAUCACUACAGGUCUACAGGGUAGAAAUUUAUGCUGCCUUAAAUCCAUACUCCUAGAUGGCAAAACACACCAACAACAUAUAAAAAUAAAAGGGGGAAUAAAGUGUCCCAAACAAACCAAGAUGCUUCAACAAAAGAAGCCACUGAUACAUAGUAGAAAAAUGUCUAAGAAGGAGUUCAGAUUGUUCAUAGUUAAAUUGAUAUGUGAAAUAAAGAAUAGUAUAAGGAGUGAAAUCAAAGAAAAUAUACAGGAAGUGAAAAAAAUCAAUAAAGAGUUAGAGAUUGUAGGGGAAAAAAAGCAGAAAUCCUCAAAAUGAAGGAAUCAGUAAACCAAAUUAUACAUUCAAUAGAAAGCAUCACCAACAGACUAGACCACUUGGAACAC